CCUUGAAACUAUGGAGGGUGAAAGUAACCUUCAUCUCCUCUCCUUAUAUUAUUAUUGAACAGGCAAAGUGGUGUAAAUGUAGGAGAUCUGCCUCUAGCUAAUCUUAUAUGGACUAAAAUACAAAUUUCAAGCCUCAGCAGGUUGGCACAGGUGCUGCUCAUGACUUUGACUCGGCUUGCUUGGAGACCUCCAUGACAUCUCAAGUUAGCACCUUAGCAGAGGGGAACAAAUUCUCCGCAGCUCCUAUUAGAAUGCCAAUGAAACAUCAAGUGCCCUCAUUUUUGAAUGGGAAGCAUACAAAGUAUGGUAUUUCAGAAUCCAUGGGAUCUUAAGUGAGAUAAUAUCAGAAAAUUGUCACAUGUCCUGUUUUACCAACUAGCGUCCUUAAUCGGAAAAACUGUAAGAAGACAGUUUUGCCUGACAGCAAACUCUAAGAAGCUGCCUAGCCCAGGUUUAAGGGAAAUGUAUGAUCAUAAUCAACUAUCAGGCUGAGUAGGCAAAGAUUACAUGAUCUUUCUGUGCUACAUGCCCAUAAAAAAGUCUUUUCCCAAUAAAGUUUGAUUUCUGGCUAA
Molecule: non-coding RNA, 572 nt
Organism: Pantherophis guttatus
Lineage: Eukaryota; Metazoa; Chordata; Lepidosauria; Squamata; Colubridae
Source: RefSeq, a predicted model, not a curated record